GAUGAACGCUGGCGGCGUGCCUAAUACAUGCAAGUAGAACGCUGAAGGAGGAGCUUGCUCUUCUGGAUGAGUUGCGAACGGGUGAGUAACGCGUAGGUAACCUGCCUGGUAGCGGGGGAUAACUAUUGGAAACGAUAGCUAAUACCGCAUGACAACAGUUAUUGCAUGAUAACUGUUUAAAAGGGGCAACUGCUCCACUACCAGAUGGACCUGCGUUGUAUUAGCUAGUUGGUGAGGUAACGGCUCACCAAGGCGACGAUACAUAGCCGACCUGAGAGGGGGAUCGGCCACACUGGGAAUGAGACACGGCCCAGACUCCUACGGGAGGCAGCAGUAGGGAAUCUUCGGCAAUGGACGGAAGUCUGACCGAGCAACGCCGCGUGAGUGAAGAAGGUUUUCGGAUCGUAAAGCUCUGUUGUAAGAGAAGAACGAGUGUGAGAGUGGAAAGUUCACACUGUGACGGUAUCUUACCAGAAAGGGACGGCUAACUACGUG
This 495-nucleotide ribosomal RNA is filed under the name uncultured bacterium. RNAcentral's name for it is "partial 16S ribosomal RNA". It matches the Rfam family "Bacterial small subunit ribosomal RNA", at positions 28 to 507 of the family's 1533-position model. The record is from RNAcentral.